This is an RNA transcript of Magnolia sinica, 1267 nucleotides long. RefSeq lists it as uncharacterized. Lineage: Eukaryota; Viridiplantae; Streptophyta; Magnoliopsida; Magnoliales; Magnoliaceae. The transcript has 4 exons. The record is from RefSeq and is a predicted model, not a curated record.
AAACCCUAACCCUCUUUUCUCCAAACCCCUGAUCGUUGCUAUCUCCAAACCCUAGCCCUCCUCUUCUCCAAACUUUCGCAGUCGCCUGACGCACCACCAUCACAAACAGAGUAUCAUGUCUGUUCUACUUUCUAUUCCAAACCCUAACCCAUCAACCGAUAUGGAUUCUUGAUGUAACUGUCGCUAUUCCGAGCUCUCUGGUUCGAUUUCAGCUGAAUCGAGUUCCAGUGGUUGAGCGAAAGCUCUGUCGUUCGAUUACGAGAAGAGUUACAGGGGAAUUUGGGAGAAAUCUGCAGAUUUUGAGUUCCUUUUGCAUUGGUUUUGGCCGAAAUGGAGAAUCCAGAGGUUUGAAAUUGGAAUUUGUGAGAGAAACUUAGAGAUUUAAGGAGUUUCUGUGUAGCGAAGCUCUCUGCGGCUUUAAUGGCGGACCUGCAGCAUCCUUAUGUAGUUCUUUGGAGGAAAUGCUUGCAGAUUUCUGAUCUCUCGUUGCUUCUUUUAAAGGUGUUGUGAAUAUGCACUACUGAUCCUAGAGUACUGGGCUGAUGUGCCUGAAAUUCAGCGAUCAGCCGAUCUUUAUGAAGAUCUACUAAAAUGUUCUGUUGCAGAUGCAAUGAGUACCUCGCCGUGUGUUUCUUGCUCAGGAUUUGCUAGAAGAAAGAAUGUGCAUGCCUGAACUCCAGGGGUUGCAAUUUUGCAUAUCUAUUUUUCUCAUUUCUUACUAAUAAACCAAAAGUCAUUUCUCUCUCUGAACUGCUCCUGGUAAUGGGAUUAGCACAAUUUGAGGUUUUAAUGCUUGGUAUUGGUUCUGACUUGGUAAUGACUGGACCUGUUCUAUUUGUGUGUGGAAAUGAUGUGAGAGUCAAAUGGGUUUUGGAUAUCUUGGAUUAGAUGUUCUGCAUUACAGGUUUCGAGGAUGGACUCAGGCUGGUCAAGGUCAGAGGAGAAGCCGUGUAGGUGGGCAUCUAAGCUGGCUCAAUGGGUAGUUUCUCUUUCCAUUGCUUAGGAAGUUGCAGAUGCUGCUAACAGUACUAUGGUUGGUGUCAUAGAACUAGAUUCAGAAAAGGUCCAGCUGCUAUGCGAUGCAGCUAAUGAAGAAGUAGAUGAGAAAAAUAAAGAUCAAAUUGCAAACUUCCUCUGUCCAGGUAACUAUGUUGUUUCUGGAGGUGUGAAAGCAGUGGAAGCUAAGGCAAAGUCAUUUAAGGCUCGAAUGAUGGUUAAUUGCUCCUAGAUUAUUAAUUACCAUUUUUCCAUAAUUUGAUAAAAGCUU